RNAcentral lists this ribosomal RNA (253 nucleotides) under uncultured bacterium. RNAcentral's name for it is "partial 16S ribosomal RNA". It matches the Rfam family "Bacterial small subunit ribosomal RNA", at positions 524 to 776 of the family's 1533-position model. The record is from RNAcentral.
UACGUAGGGGGCAAGCGUUAUCCGGAAUUACUGGGUGUAAAGGGAGCGUAGACGGUAAUGUAAGUCUGGGGUGAAAGGCGGGGGCCCAACCCCCGGACUGCUCUGGAAACUAUGUUACUAGAGUGCAGGAGAGGUAAGCGGAAUUCCUAGUGUAGCGGUGAAAUGCGUAGAUAUUAGGAGGAACACCAGUGGCGGAGGCGGCUUACUGGACUGUAACUGACGUUGAGGCUCGAAAGCGUGGGGAGCAAACAGG